Molecule: long non-coding RNA, 551 nt
Organism: Oncorhynchus kisutch (coho salmon)
Lineage: Eukaryota; Metazoa; Chordata; Actinopteri; Salmoniformes; Salmonidae
Exons: 3
Source: RefSeq, a predicted model, not a curated record
ACGAGUGAAUGAAGUUUGGUUUUGGAUUACAAUUAUGUCAACAAAUCAUCCCCAAUUUUGCCAAGCUCCACGUGCAAAUCGCCCCCAUCCGCUUCGCUUUUCAAAAUGGGGCUAUUUUUUCAGCGCCGUUUCUGACUGAAAAGCCCUAACGUUAUAUGGGUUGACCAUGGCUCCACACAGUUAUACGGUUUACAUGCCCUGCCGAAGGAACCUAGUAUGCGGAAAGGUGGUUGGAGUUUCGCCAGUCCCCUUUGCACCACCAGUAUAGUAACGCUAGCUUGGUGUGCAACGUUCGGUGGUGGGCCUCCCAGUCAACACCGCCUCAUAAAAUAAGGAAGUCCAUUAUUUGAGGAUCGCUUGCAGCAGUUGUUCAAGAGAUGUUCCGUUUGCUGCCAAACAUGCAACAUAGAGAAGACCAGCAAGGGGACCCUCAACAUCACGCAGACAUGCCCUCGCUGUGAGCAUUCCUAUAAAUUGAACAGGGAGGACGCUUGAAUCAGGACAAUGACCCAACACACCUCCAGGCUGUGUAAGGGCUAUUUGACCAAGGA